CACGUAGGGUCCGAGCGUUGUCCGGAAUUAUUGGGCGUAAAGAGCUCGUAGGCGGUUUGUCGCGUCUGCCGUGAAAGUCCGGGGCUCAACUCCGGAUCUGCGGUGGGUACGGGCAGACUAGAGUGAUGUAGGGGAGACUGGAAUUCCUGGUGUAGCGGUGAAAUGCGCAGAUAUCAGGAGGAACACCAAUGGCGAAGGCAGCUCACUGGGACGGUACUGACGCUGAGACGCGAAAGCGUGGGGAGCAAACAGG
Molecule: ribosomal RNA, 253 nt
Filed under: uncultured bacterium
Lineage: Bacteria
Description: partial 16S ribosomal RNA
Rfam family: Bacterial small subunit ribosomal RNA
Source: RNAcentral